This 308-nucleotide ribosomal RNA is filed under the name Paenibacillus polymyxa. RNAcentral's name for it is "partial 23S ribosomal RNA". It matches the Rfam family "Bacterial large subunit ribosomal RNA", at positions 1652 to 1955 of the family's 2925-position model. The record is from RNAcentral. Lineage: Bacteria; Bacillati; Bacillota; Bacilli; Caryophanales; Paenibacillaceae.
AAUCGACACAGGUAGGCGAGAAGAGAAUUCUAAGGCUCGCGGUAGAACUCUCGUUACGGAACUCGGCAAAAUGACACCAUAACUUCGGGAGAAGGGGUGGCUCGGUAGGGUGAAUAGCCCGAGAGGGCCGCAGUGAAAAGGCCCAAGCGACUGUUUAGCUCAAACACAGGUCUGUGCGAAGCCGCAAGGCGAAGUAUACGGGCUGACGCCUGCCCGGUGCUGGAAGGUUAAGGGGAGUGGUAAGCCUUCGGGCGAAGCUAUGAACCGAAGUCCCAGUAAACGGCGGCCGUAACUAUAACGGUCCUAAG